RNAcentral lists this ribosomal RNA (1160 nucleotides) under uncultured organism. RNAcentral's name for it is "bacterial SSU rRNA". It matches the Rfam family "Bacterial small subunit ribosomal RNA", at positions 93 to 1291 of the family's 1533-position model. The record is from RNAcentral.
CAGCGGCAGACGGGUGAGUAACACGUAGGUGAUCUACCCCAGAGACGGGGAUAACGGGUGGAAACAUCCGCUAAUACCGGAUAGGCUUGUUCGGUCAAAGGGACAAGGAAAGGCUCCGGCGCUCUGGGAGGAGCCUGCGGCCCAUCAGCUAGUUGGCGGGGUAACGGCCCACCAAGGCAAAGACGGGUAGGGGGUGUGAGAGCAUGGCCCCCCACAAUGGGACUGGAACACGGCCCAUACUCCUACGGGAGGCAGCAGCAGGGAAUAUUGCACAAUGGACGGAAGUCUGAUGCAGCGACGCCGCGUGGAUGAAGAAGGCCCUCGGGUUGUAAAAUCCUUUACAGGGGGAAGAGGAAGGACGGUACCCCUGGAACAAGUGUCGGCUAACUACGUGCCAGCAGCCGCGGUAAGACGUAGGACACAAGCGUUAUCCGGAUUUACUGGGCGUAAAGCGUCUGCAGGCGGACAGGUAAGUUGGGCGUGAAAGCUCCGGGCCCAACCCGGAGAGGUCGUUCAAUACUGCGUGUCUAGAGGGUGUCAGAGGGGAGUGGAAUUUCCGGAGUAGCGGUAAAAUGCGCAGAGAUCGGAAAGAACACCAAUGGCGAAGGCAGCUCCCUGGGGCAACCCUGACGCUAAGAGACGAAAGCUAGGGGAGCGAACAGGAUUAGAGACCCUGGUAGUCCUAGCCCUAAACGAUGGAUGCUGGAUGUGGGGCCAUAGCGCUCCGUGUCGAAGCGAACGCGUUAAGCAUCCCGCCUGGGGACUACGGCCGCAAGGUUAAUACUCAAACGAAUUGACGGGACCCCGCACAAGCAGCGGAGCGUGUGGUUUAAUUCGAUGCUACACGAAGAACCUUACCUGGGUUUGACAUCUAGGUGGUAGUGAAGCGAAAGCGGACCGACCCUUCGGGGAGCCUAGACAGGUGCUGCAUGGCUGUCGUCAGCUCGUGCCGUGAGGUGUCGGGUUAAGUCCCGUAAUGAGCGCUACCCUUGCCGUCCGUUAUACGUGUCAGAGGGGCUGCCGCAGUAAGCCGGAGGAAGGUGGGGAUGACGUCAAGUCAGCAUGGCCUUCAUAGCCAGGGCUACACACACGCUACAAUGGCCAGUACGACGGGCAGCGAAGCCGCGAGGUGGAGCGAAUCCCAGCAAAGCUGGUCGUAG